GUCUAUGGCGGGCCGUGUGGGGGCAUCUUCGGAUGCGCCGGUCCCAUUUCCCGGUACGCCAACCCCACACGGUCUGCCGCCCCU
This 84-nucleotide non-coding RNA is filed under the name Sphaerotilus natans. Lineage: Bacteria; Pseudomonadati; Pseudomonadota; Betaproteobacteria; Burkholderiales; Sphaerotilaceae. The record is from RNAcentral.